RNAcentral lists this ribosomal RNA (336 nucleotides) under uncultured bacterium. RNAcentral's name for it is "bacterial SSU rRNA". It matches the Rfam family "Bacterial small subunit ribosomal RNA", at positions 35 to 401 of the family's 1533-position model. The record is from RNAcentral.
GCUGGCGGCAGGCUUAACACAUGCAAGUCGAGCGCCCCGCAAGGGGACCGGCAGAAGUUUGAGUAACGCGUGGGAAGCUAGCCAGGUCUACGGAACAACUCCGGGAAACUGGAGCUGGUACCGUAUACGUCCUUAUGGAGAAAGAUUUAUCGGAGAUGGGUGAGCCCGCGUUGGAUUAGCUAGUUGGUGUUGUAAUGGCCUACCAAGGCGAAGAUCCAUAGCUGGUCUGAGAGGAUGAUCAGCCACACUGGGACUGAGACACGGCCCAGACUCCUACGGGAGGGAGGUGUGGGGAAUAUCGGACAAUGGGCGCAACCCUGAUUCAGCCAUGUCGCG